AGAUAGUGGCGCACGGGUGCGUAACGCGUAACCAACCUGCCCUUGACUGGGGGAUAGCCCGCCGAAAGGCGGAUUAAUACCGCAUAAACUAGCAGCUCGGCAUCGAGUAACUAGUAAAGAUUUAUUGGUCAAGGAUGGGGUUGCGUGACAUUAGCUAGUUGGCGGGGUAACGGCCCACCAAGGCGACGAUGUCUAGGGGAGCUGAGAGGCUGAUCCCCCACACUGGCACUGAGAUACGGGCCAGACUCCUACGGGAGGCAGCAGUAGGGAAUAUUGGGCAAUGGGCGAGAGCCUGACCCAGCCAUGCCGCGUGCCGGAUGAAGGCCUUCUGGGUUGUAAACGGCUUUUCUCAGGGAAGAAAAAGACCAUGCGUGGUACACUGACGGUACCUGAGGAAUAAGCACCGGCUAACUCCGUGCCAGCAGCCGCGGUAAUACGGAGGGUGCAAGCGUUGUCCGGAUUUAUUGGGUUUAAAGGGUGCGUAGGUGGUUUGAUAAGUCCGGGGUGAAAGCCCACAGCUCAACUGUGGAACUGCCCUGGAUA
This 543-nucleotide ribosomal RNA is filed under the name uncultured Hymenobacter sp. Its description in RNAcentral is "bacterial SSU rRNA". It matches the Rfam family "Bacterial small subunit ribosomal RNA", at positions 90 to 632 of the family's 1533-position model. Lineage: Bacteria; Pseudomonadati; Bacteroidota; Cytophagia; Cytophagales; Hymenobacteraceae. The record is from RNAcentral.